UACGUAGGGUGCGAGCGUUGUCCGGAAUUCUUGGGCGUAAAGGGCUCGUAGGCGGUUUGUCGCGUCGGGAGUGAAAACUCAGGGCUUAACCCUGAGCCUGCUUCCGAUACGGGCAGACUAGAGGUAUGCAGGGGAGAACGGAAUUCCUGGUGUAGCGGUGAAAUGCGCAGAUAUCAGGAGGAACACCGGUGGCGAAGGCGGUUCUCUGGGCAUUACCUGACGCUGAGGAGCGAAAGUGUGGGGAGCGAACAGG
Molecule: ribosomal RNA, 253 nt
Filed under: uncultured bacterium
Lineage: Bacteria
Description: partial 16S ribosomal RNA
Rfam family: Bacterial small subunit ribosomal RNA
Source: RNAcentral